UCGGCUUCCUACGGGAGGCAGCAGUGGGGAAUAUUGGACAAUGGACGCAAGCCUGAUCCAGCAAUGCCGCGUGUGUGAAGAAGGCCUGCGGGUUGUAAAGCACUUUUAUUAGGAAAGAAAAACCCUAGAUUAAUACUCUUCGCAUUGACGGUACCUAAAGAAUAAGCACCGGCUAACUCAGUGCCAGCAGCCGCGGUAAUA
This 201-nucleotide ribosomal RNA is filed under the name uncultured bacterium. RNAcentral's name for it is "partial 16S ribosomal RNA". It matches the Rfam family "Bacterial small subunit ribosomal RNA", at positions 331 to 525 of the family's 1533-position model. The record is from RNAcentral.